Molecule: ribosomal RNA, 271 nt
Filed under: uncultured bacterium
Lineage: Bacteria
Description: partial 16S ribosomal RNA
Rfam family: Bacterial small subunit ribosomal RNA
Source: RNAcentral
UACGGAGGGUCCAAGCGUUAUCCGGAUUUAUUGGGUUUAAAGGGUGCGCAGGCGGAACUUUAAGUCAGUGGUGAAAUCUUGCCGCUUAACGGUAAAAUUGCCAUUGAUACUGAAGUUCUUGAAUGUAGUUGAGGUAGGCGGAAUGUGUUGUGUAGCGGUGAAAUGCAUAGAUAUGACACAGAACGCCAAUUGCGAAGGCAGCUUACUAAGCUACUAUUGACGCUGAGGCACGAAAGCGUGGGGAGCGAACAGGAUUAGAUACCCGGGUAGU